GAUGAACGCUGGCGGCGUGCCUAAUACAUGCAAGUCGAGCGAACAGACGAGGAGCUUGCUCCUCUGACGUUAGCGGCGGACGGGUGAGUAACACGUGGAUAACCUACCUAUAAGACUGGGAUAACUUCGGGAACCCGGAGCUAAUACCGGAUAAUAUAUUGAACCGCAUGGUUCAAUAGUGAAAGACGGUUUUGCUGUCACUUAUAGAUGGAUCCGCGCCGCAUUAGCUAGUUGGUAAGGUAACGGCUUACCAAGGCAACGAUGCGUAGCCGACCUGAGAGGGUGAUCGGCCACACUGGAACUGAGACACGGUCCAGACUCCUACGGGAGGCAGCAGUAGGGAAUCUUCCGCAAUGGGCGAAAGCCUGACGGAGCAACGUCGCGUGAGUGAUGAAGGUCUUCGGAUCGUAAAACUCUGUUAUUAGGGAAGAACAAAUGUGUAAGUAACUAUGCACGUCUUGACGGUACCUAAUCAGAAAGCCACGGCUAACUACGUG
RNAcentral lists this ribosomal RNA (497 nucleotides) under uncultured bacterium. Its description in RNAcentral is "partial 16S ribosomal RNA". It matches the Rfam family "Bacterial small subunit ribosomal RNA", at positions 28 to 507 of the family's 1533-position model. The record is from RNAcentral.